Prosopis cineraria is the source of this 679-nucleotide long non-coding RNA. RefSeq lists it as uncharacterized. NCBI's taxonomy places the organism in Eukaryota, Viridiplantae, Streptophyta, Magnoliopsida, Fabales, Fabaceae. The record is from RefSeq and is a predicted model, not a curated record. The transcript is spliced from 3 exons.
UUUCUAGAACUAUCGCGAGAGAGCGGGGCAGAGAGGAGCUGAACCAGAAAACACAUGCCAUCUCCGUCUCUUUCCUCCUCCUUCGUCUUCAACUUAGCCGCUGCGCGUGCGAACGUGUCGUUGCUGUCCUAGUUCAUAGCUUCUUCCUUUUCCUCUGUUUCUCACUGUCGGACCCUUCUUUUUCCUUCUCCAUUCUGUCUGACGGAGGGUGGCAAGCAUGUGAAGAUCCGAGCUGUUGUUGGAAGUCCGAGUAUGUUUCUUCCACCCCUGCUCGCAGCAUCAUCCCCUUCUUCCUUCCACUGUCUCUCGCUGCAGAAUUUCUGCUUCUCUUGUUCGUUUGUGCUGCUGUAAAUUCUCUCCUCCCCUGUUCUGCGAUUCCACGUGUUGGUCUGGGUGUGCACGUUGGAGUUUUGAUCUUCCACUUCAUUCUUUGUUCUUCUGCAGCAGUGUUGAUCAUUUGCAGCUUAGGAGUGGAGAAAAUAAAGAUGCAUUUUCAAGUUGAAAUUAAAGGUUAAGGAGUUCAUUUGAGGAUUAAAGAGCAAUCAUUGUGGCAAAAGGGACCAGUUAGUAGUAAGUUAUAUAUUCGGAAACUUUACAGGUAAGUGGAUAGCGUCCCAACUGAUAUUCUAAUAAUAUUUCUUUUACUGAAAUAUUACAUUUUUUUUAUAAAUCCUUUUUA